Molecule: transfer RNA, 65 nt
Filed under: Rhabdoblatta sp. RHA
Lineage: Eukaryota; Metazoa; Arthropoda; Insecta; Blattodea; Blaberidae
Description: tRNA-Arg
Source: RNAcentral
AAAUAUGAAGCAAUUUUUGCGAUUAGUUUCGACCUAGUUAAAAGGUGUUAAUUCACCCUUAUUUU